Molecule: ribosomal RNA, 256 nt
Filed under: uncultured bacterium
Lineage: Bacteria
Description: partial 16S ribosomal RNA
Rfam family: Bacterial small subunit ribosomal RNA
Source: RNAcentral
GACGAAGGGGGCUAGCGUUGUUCGGAAUUACUGGGCGUAAAGCGCGUGUAGGCGGUUAUCCAAGUCGGGUGUGAAAGCCUUGAGCUCAACUCAAGAAAUGCACUCGGUACUGGGUGACUAGAGGACCGGAGAGGAUAGUGGAAUUCCUGGUGUAGCGGUGAAAUGCGCAGAUAUCAGGAGGAACACCGGUGGCGAAGGCGGUUCUCUGGGCCUUACCUGAACACUGGAGGAGCGAAAGCGUGGGGAGCGAACAGGA